Molecule: long non-coding RNA, 1063 nt
Filed under: Ananas comosus (pineapple)
Lineage: Eukaryota; Viridiplantae; Streptophyta; Magnoliopsida; Poales; Bromeliaceae
Description: long non-coding RNA (ACOM_LNC001497)
Source: RNAcentral
AUAUUAUUCCAAACUCAAAAUUAAGAAUAUAUAGAGUCUGGCUACUGUACUAUCGAUAGCAUGGAGGUCUCUGUGCUACCGAGUUGUUUUCGAUGAUGCGGCUUCCGAAUCGAUGAUUUGCUCCGUUAAAUAUAAUCUACGCUAUUGUAAAUAUUUGAAAACUAAAUUUAAUAUUUUCUCUACAUUAUUUGACAAGUGAUCAAAAGGUCAAAAAAAUUGAUAUUUUAAAAGCUGUGAAUUUAACAGUGCAAAACAAUCCACAUUUGAAAAAAAAAAAUUAUAGAAAAUUCUCUUCACUAUUUAGAAUAAGAUUAGUACUUCUGAUCUUAAAUUUAAGUCUUUUAUCAUUAUUUUUUAUGAGAUUUUUAUUUUUAGCUGUUUAUUUUUAGAUUAUUCAUUUGAUAGAUAAAUAAUAUCGAAAGAUUAUAAAAUUUGAUUUUCAAAUAUUUUUAGUAGUGCGGAUCAAGUCUAACGGAGCCGAUCGUCAAUUGUGAUGUCGCAUCAUCGAAAACAACUUAGUAGUACGGAGGCUUCCGUACUACCAAUAGUAUAGUAGCCGGACUCGUCUAGAAUUAAAUUUUAGAAUAGUACUAUUCCACUAAAAAAAUAAAAUAAUUUAUUUCAAAUUAUUUUGAAAUAAUCAAAAAUCAUAAAAUUUGAUCGGAAACUAAAAAAUAUUUUAUUUGAUGAAAUAGCCAAGAUAACUUUCGCUAUUUUAUUAUUUUAUUUCCAAACUAGAUUAAGGAUGCAAAUGUGGCGGAUCCGGGGAGCGGGAGAGUUCCUCCACCUCCCGCUCUAUUUCUCGCCAGGGUGGGACGGAUUCAGGGCGGGUUAUUUUUUAUUUUAAUUUUUACUCCUACUUACCGCUCUAUUCGGGACAGAUCAGGACAGAAGCAGAUUUUAGGCAGAUUUUUGACGGAUCGGAUCGUAUUGAAGGAAAAAAAGAGUUUCUCGCCUUCCACUCCAUUUAUGUGGCGGAUCAAGACGGAUUCGAAAUGUGUUAUAUUGUUCUAUAUUUUUUAUUCUCACUUACUGUCCUAUUCGAAACAAAUCAAAACGGAAG